GCCAGGCACGGUGGCGCACGCCUGUAGUCCCAGCUACUUGGGAGGCUGAGGCAGGAGAAUCGCUUCAGCCCAGGAGUUCUGGGCUGUACUGCACUAUGCUGAUCGGGUGUCCGCACUAAGAUCAGCAUCAAUAUGGUGACCUCUCGGGGCGGGGUACCACCAGGUUGCCUAAGGAGGGGUGAACCGGCCCAGAUCGGAAACAGAGCAGGUCAAGAUUUUAUUUAUUUAUUUGAUAGAGAGCACAAGUAGGCAGAGAGGCAGGCAGAGGGCGGGGGGGGGGAAGCAGGCUCCCU
This 293-nucleotide signal recognition particle RNA is filed under the name Neogale vison (American mink). Its description in RNAcentral is "Neovison vison (American mink) Metazoan signal recognition particle RNA (ENSNVIG00000008158.1)". It matches the Rfam family "Metazoan signal recognition particle RNA". From Rfam's summary of the family: The signal recognition particle (SRP) is a universally conserved ribonucleoprotein. It is involved in the co-translational targeting of proteins to membranes. The eukaryotic SRP consists of a 300-nucleotide 7S RNA and six proteins: SRPs 72, 68, 54, 19, 14, and 9. The record is from Rfam by way of RNAcentral. Lineage: Eukaryota; Metazoa; Chordata; Mammalia; Carnivora; Mustelidae.